This 828-nucleotide ribosomal RNA is filed under the name uncultured marine bacterium. RNAcentral's name for it is "bacterial SSU rRNA". It matches the Rfam family "Bacterial small subunit ribosomal RNA", at positions 60 to 936 of the family's 1533-position model. The record is from RNAcentral.
AGUCGAACGAAGUCUUCGGACUUAGUGGCGCACGGGUGAGUAACAUGUGGGAAUCUACCUAGAGGUUCGGGAUAACUGCGGGAAACUGUAGCUAAUACCGGAUGUGUCUGCAAAGAGAAAGAUUUAUCGCCUUUAGAUGAGCCCGCACUAGAUUAGCUUGUUGGUGAGGUAACUGCUCCACCAAGGCUACGAUCUAUAGCUGAUUUGAGAGGAUGAUCAGCCACACUGGGACUGAGACACGGCCCAGACUCCUACGGGAGGCAGCAGUAGGGAAUAUUGGACAAUGGGGGAAACCCUGAUCCAGCAAUGCCGCGUGAGUGAAGAAGGCCUUCGGGUUGUAAAACUCUUUCAUCAAUGAUGAUAAUGACAUUAGUUGAAGAAGAAGCUCCGGCUAACUCCGUGCCAGCAGCCGCGGUAAUACGGAGGGGGCUAGCGUUGUUCGGAAUUACUGGGCGUAAAGCGUAUGUAGGCGGAUCAAAAAGUUAGAUGUGAAAUCCCUGGGCUUAACCCAGGAACUGCAUUUAAAACUAGUGAUCUAGAAAUUGGUAGGGGUUAGUAGAAUUUCCAGUGUAGAGGUGAAAUUCGUAGAUAUUGGAAAGAAUACCAGUGGCGAAGGCGACUAACUAGGCCAUUUUUGACGCUGAGAUACGAAAGCGUGGGUAGCAAACAGGAUUAGAUACCCUGGUAGUCCACGCAGUAAACGAUGAGUGCUAGUCGCUGGGACAAUAGUUUCAGUGUCGAAGCUAACGCAUUAAGCACUCCGCCUGGGAAGUACGGUCGCAAAAUUAAAACUCAAAUAAAUUGACGGGGGCCCGCACAAGCGGUGGA